CUGACCUACACACGACAGCAUACUCCGUCAGCUCAGCAUUCGAUUAAAGAAACGCCCCCAAUCCUCCCGUGCGGGUUAAAGGGCGACGGAGUAGGGCAUGGCAAUGGCGCCGCACCCAGCUGAUGAUAGGAAGGAGGAGCAGGGUGGCGAGGAGGGGGAUCAGAGGAGGCGCGGGGGCAGGGCAACGGCGGUUCCAAAAAAAA
RNAcentral lists this long non-coding RNA (203 nucleotides) under Setaria viridis. Its description in RNAcentral is "long non-coding RNA (SVIR_LNC008099)". Lineage: Eukaryota; Viridiplantae; Streptophyta; Magnoliopsida; Poales; Poaceae. The record is from RNAcentral.